Mauremys reevesii (Reeves's turtle) is the source of this 198-nucleotide long non-coding RNA. RefSeq lists it as uncharacterized. The transcript is spliced from 3 exons. Lineage: Eukaryota; Metazoa; Chordata; Testudines; Geoemydidae. The record is from RefSeq and is a predicted model, not a curated record.
UCGAAAAGACCAACAACAUACUGAGGACAACCCUUGCCGGUUUUCUGUCCAAGCGUUAGAAUCUGUGCUUUCUAAAGCUGGGAAUGAGAGACUGGUGAGAGUGCUCAGGACGCAGAAAACAUGGAUUCUGCUUGAAAACCCCCAGACUCACCAUGAGGGAGUGUGUCUGCUGGUGAGUGGUCUGCUAAGAUUUGGACU